This 292-nucleotide ribosomal RNA is filed under the name uncultured bacterium. RNAcentral's name for it is "partial 16S ribosomal RNA". It matches the Rfam family "Bacterial small subunit ribosomal RNA", at positions 505 to 796 of the family's 1533-position model. The record is from RNAcentral.
GUGCCAGCCGCCGCGGUAAUACGUAGGGGCCGAGCGUUGUCCGGAGUUAUUGGGCGUAAAGCGCGCGCAGGCGGCUUCGCGCGUCCGACGUGAAAGCCCCCGGCUUAACCGGGGAGGGUCGUUGGGUACGGCGGAGCUUGAGGGCGGGAGAGGGUGGUGGAAUUCCCGGUGUAGUGGUGAAAUGCGUAGAGAUCGGGAGGAACACCUGUGGCGAAGGCGGCCACCUGGGCCGACCCUGACGCUGAGGCGCGAAGGCGUGGGGAGCGAACGGGAUUAGAAACCCCGGUAGUCC